CGCGGCCUAUCAGCUUGUUGGUGAGGUAAUGGCUCACCAAGGCGACGACGGGUAGCCGGCCUGAGAGGGCGACCGGCCACACUGGGACUGAGACACGGCCCAGACUCCUACGGGAGGCAGCAGUGGGGAAUAUUGCACAAUGGGCGAAAGCCUGAUGCAGCGACGCCGCGUGAGGGAUGACGGCCUUCGGGUUGUAAACCUCUUUCAGCAGGGAAGAAGCGAAAGUGACGGUACCUGCAGAAGAAGCGCCGGCUAACUACGUGCCAGCAGCCGCGGUAAUACGUAGGGCGCAAGCGUUGUCCGGAAUUAUUGGGCGUAAAGAGCUCGUAGGCGGCUUGUCACGUCGGGUGUGAAAGCCCGGGGCUUAACCCCGGGUCUGCAUUCGAUACGGGCUAGCUAGAGUGUGGUAGGGGAGAUCGGAAUUCCUGGCGUAGCGGUGAAAUGCGCAGAUAUCAGGAGGAACACCGGUGGCGAAGGCGGAUCUCUGGGCCAUUACUGACGCUGAGGAGCGAAAGCGUGGGGAGUGAACAGGAUUAGAUACCCUGGUAGUCCACGCCGUAAACGGUGGGAACUAGGUGUUGGCGACAUUCCACGUCGUCGGUGCCGCAGCUAACGCAUUAA
RNAcentral lists this ribosomal RNA (621 nucleotides) under uncultured bacterium. RNAcentral's name for it is "bacterial SSU rRNA". It matches the Rfam family "Bacterial small subunit ribosomal RNA", at positions 232 to 863 of the family's 1533-position model. The record is from RNAcentral.